Molecule: ribosomal RNA, 616 nt
Filed under: Thelotrema porinoides
Lineage: Eukaryota; Fungi; Ascomycota; Lecanoromycetes; Ostropales; Graphidaceae
Description: SSU rRNA
Rfam family: Bacterial small subunit ribosomal RNA
Source: RNAcentral
AGUGAAAAUAAUAUAUUAACUAAGUUAAUUAAAAUUCGAUGUAGAUAUCCGAUUAUGACAGUAUUUGCUUAUGUCUUGACCAAUUCACGUGCCAGCAGUCGCGGUAAGACGUGUAAGAUAAGUGUUAUUCAUGUUUAACAGGUUUAAAGGGUACCUAGACGGUUAAUCAAACACUGUAAUGUAUUAAUUAACUAGAGUUUGAUAUAAGAAGGAUUGAGUACGGUGAGUGAAGAGAUAAAAUUCUAUUAKACCACUCUGGAACUGGUAAAGGCGAAGGCAACCUUCUAUGUAAAAACUGACGUUAAGGGACGAAGGCUCGUUAAAAAAAACAGGAUUAGAUACCCUGGUAUUUUGGGCAGACAAUGAUGAGUGUCAUAUGCAAGAUGAAUAAUUUUUUGUGUAUAAAUGAAAGUGUAAGCACUCCACCUUAAGAGUAACAUGGCAACAUGGGAACUGAAAUCAUUAGACCGUUUCUGAAACUCGUAGUGAAGUAUGUUGUUUAAUUUGAUAAUCCACAAAUAACCUUACCACAACUUGUAUAACUUUAGCUAAAAGUUACAAGCGUUGCACGGCUGUUUUCUGUCAAUGUUGUGAAACUGUGGUUAGAUCCAUUAAA